RNAcentral lists this long non-coding RNA (1275 nucleotides) under Zonotrichia albicollis (white-throated sparrow). Its description in RNAcentral is "lncRNA (ENSZALG00000004910.1)". The record is from RNAcentral. Lineage: Eukaryota; Metazoa; Chordata; Aves; Passeriformes; Passerellidae.
AUGCGAUUGGGGCAGGAAUGGGAUCAGGGAUGGGAUCAGAGCAGGAAUCAGGGAUGGGAUGGGGCAGGAAUGGGAUCAGGGAUUGGGUUCAGGGCAGGAAUGGGAUCAGGGAUCAUGGCAGGGAAGGGAUGGGGCAGGAGUGGGAUCAGGGAUGGGAUCAGAGCAGGAAUCAGGGAUGGGAUCAGGGAUGGGAUCAGAGCAGGGAUGGGAUCAGGGAUCAGAGUAGGGAUGGGAUGGGGCAGGAGUGGGAUCAGGGAUUGGGUUCAGGGCAGGAAUCAGGGAUGGGAUGGGGCAGGAAUGGGAUCAGGAAUCAGGGCUGGAAUGGGAUCAGGGCAGCGUUCAGGGAGGAAUGGGAUCAGGGAUCAGAAUAGGGAUGGGAUUGGGGCAGGAAUGGGAUCAGGGAUCAGAGUAGGGAUGGGAUGGGGCAGGAGUGGGAUCAGGAAUGGGAUCAGAGCAGGAAUGGGAUCAGGGAUCAUGGCAGGGAAGGGAUGGCAUCAGAGCAGGAAUCAGGGAUGGGAUGGGGCAGGAGUGGGAUCAGGAAUCAGGGCAGGAAUGGGAUCAGGGAUGGGGUCAGGGAGCAGUGGGAUCACAGUAGGGAUGGGAUUGGGGCAGGAGUGGAAUCGGGGAUGGGAUCAGAGCAUGAAUGGGAUGGGGCAGGAGUGGGAUCAGGGAUUGGGUUCAGGGCAGGAAUCAGGGAUGGGAUGGGGCAGGAAUGGGAUCAUGGCUGGAAUGGGAUCAGGGCAGGGAUGGGGUCAGGGCAGGGAUGAAAUCAGAGCAGGGAUGAAAUCAGAGCAGGGAUUGGGAUCAGGGCAGGAAUGGGAUGGGGCAGGGAUGGGAUCAGGGCACAGAGCUGGAGUGGGAUCACAGCUGGAAUGGGAUCGAGCAGGAACGGGAGAGCAGGGAUGGGAUCAGAGCAGAGCCUGGAGUUCCAUCCCAGGCUGGAUUGGAUUUCAGCUCCAUCCCAGGCUGGAUUUUUAUCCCAGGCUGGAUUUCCUUGGAUUUCCAUCCCAGGCUGGAUUUCCCUGGAUUUCCAUCCCAGGCUGGAUUUUCCUGGAUUUCCAUCCCAGGCUGGAUUCCCAUCCCAGCCAUUUCAGUUCCACCCCAGGCUGGAUUUCCCUGGAUUCCCAUCCCAGCUGCUGGCUCCCAGGGCUGGGCUCGUCCCUGUCUCUCUCUCUGGGUGUGAAACAGAAAUCAUGUUCUGAUGAUUUUUUUUUGUUGUUGUUGUUAUUUUGUAAAUCUUUACUCUUUUUACACCUUGUUUUUUUUGUAAGCUGA